RNAcentral lists this small RNA (90 nucleotides) under Marmota monax (woodchuck). The record is from RNAcentral. Lineage: Eukaryota; Metazoa; Chordata; Mammalia; Rodentia; Sciuridae.
GCCAGGUGUGCUGAUGCAUGCCUGUAAUCCCAGCUACUUGGGAGGCUGAGGCAGGAGGAGCUUGGGCACUUUAACAAGAUCCUUUCUCAA